Molecule: long non-coding RNA, 206 nt
Filed under: Mytilus galloprovincialis (Mediterranean mussel)
Lineage: Eukaryota; Metazoa; Mollusca; Bivalvia; Mytilida; Mytilidae
Source: RNAcentral
CUUAUUUAUUUGUACAAAAAAAUCAGCCAGUAGUCAUUGGAUACUGUAGAUCAUUCAGGUAGUCUUGACCUAUUUAUUUGUACCAAAAAAAAACCAGCUAGUGGUCAUUGGAUACUGAAGAUCAUUCAGGUAGUCUUGACUCUUGAUCUAUUCAUUUGUACUAAAAAAAAAAAACAGUCAGUUGUCAUCUUCACUUCACACACACA